RNA transcript from Rhinopithecus roxellana (golden snub-nosed monkey), 697 nucleotides. It is a transcript of the gene named NADH dehydrogenase [ubiquinone] 1 alpha subcomplex subunit 5 pseudogene, with no coding region annotated. The transcript has a single exon. The record is from RefSeq and is a predicted model, not a curated record. Lineage: Eukaryota; Metazoa; Chordata; Mammalia; Primates; Cercopithecidae.
AUGGGACAAGGUGUGCCAAAGAAGACUACUGGUCCUGUGGGAUUGGCUGCAUGUGAGAAUCCACGUGAGAGGCUAAGAAUACUGUACACAAAGAUCCUUGAUGUUCUUGAGCAAAUCCCUAAAAAUGCAGCAUAUAAAAAGUGUACAGAACAGAUUACAAAUGAGAAGCUGGCUAUGCUUAAAGUGGAACCAGAUGUUAAAAAAUUAGAAGACCAACUUCAAGGUGGCCAGAUAGAAGAGGUGAUUCAUCAGGCUGAAAAUGAACUAAGUCUGGUGAGAAAAACAAUGCAGUGGAAACCAUGGGAGGCAUUAGUGGAAGAGCCUCCUGCCAAUCAGUGGAAACAGCCAAUAUAAUUAUUAAAUGACUUUGGUGGGUUGAGGGAAAUAGAUGUAAUUAAAUAUUCUGUUACAUUAAGAGUAUGUUCAUAUUAUUGAUAUUUUAUAAUCAAGAAAACUGAUACAGAAAAUACUUAGGAGACUCGUUAAAAUGAGUGAUUAUGGUAACAUCAUCUUGUGAGUCAAUUUUUGAUUUGUAAAUUUUUCACACAAAUUAUUUCCAAGAUGAUAUUUCUUUGAAUACAGAGGUUGUGGAAAGAUCUGAAAAUUAGAAAAAUUCCUACCAAUCUUCAAUGCAGAGACUAUAAUCAAAAAGUAGUUUCUUUAGUAGUAUCUUCAAUACACCAUUUAAUAUUUUUAU